Molecule: ribosomal RNA, 215 nt
Filed under: uncultured bacterium
Lineage: Bacteria
Description: partial 16S ribosomal RNA
Rfam family: Bacterial small subunit ribosomal RNA
Source: RNAcentral
UCCCAGUUCGGAUUGUAGUCUGCAACCCGACUACAUGAAGCUGGAAUCGCUAGUAAUCGCGGAUCAGAAUGCCGCGGUGAAUACGUUCCCGGGUCUUGUACACACCGCCCGUCACACCAUGGGAGCCGGUAACGCCCGAAGUCAGUGACCCAACCGAGAGGAGGGAGCUGCCGAAGGCGGGACAGGUAACUGGGGUGAAGUCGUAACAAGGUAUC